RNAcentral lists this long non-coding RNA (542 nucleotides) under Equus asinus (donkey). Its description in RNAcentral is "lncRNA (ENSEASG00005027481.1)". The record is from RNAcentral. Lineage: Eukaryota; Metazoa; Chordata; Mammalia; Perissodactyla; Equidae.
CUCCGGCGGGUCGCGCGCGCGGGCUGGGGGCCGAUCCCGGUCCCCGCAGGCGAGGCAGCCCGCUUCGCAGCCGCUCCUUGGCGCCCUAAAACAAGUAGCCCCAACGUGAGAGAAACAAAAGGUCCCACUCAAAAUUGGCAGUCCUUUGGGUUACUUGGUAAAUGGAUCAGAGCAGGACCACAAUGUGCUACACGUUGCCUCUGAAAUUCAUACUCCUACAAGUGUGCUUCCUAAUGGUCCUAUUGCUACGAUGUCAUCAUUGAAGAAGCAGGCAUCUUGUAUGAGUGACCUCACUGCCCAGUGUAACUGGUUGUAGAGAAGUCUCAGUGGAAGGCUGGCCAGACCACCAGCCAGCAAUGGUGGUGCCUGUGGUUGGGCUCCAGUAUCCAGAACUAUGAGUGAGCCAUAAGGGAGACUCGGGAGAGAUCUGGAGGGCAGAGGGAAGCAGCAGCGUUUUGUGGUUCACACACAGUGUGGUGAUCUGCCGAUUCACCACCUUGGAGGUGAGGCAGCAGCUGGACCUGCAACGUCUCUACCUUCGC